ACGGGUGAGUAACACGUGGAUAACCUACCUAUAAGAUUGGGAUAACUUCGGGAAACCGGAGCUAAUACCGGAUAAUAUAUUGAACCGCAUGGUUCAAUAGUGAAAGACGGUUUUGCUGUCACUUAUAGAUGGAUCCGCGCCGCAUUAGCUAGUUGGUAAGGUAACGGCUUACCAAGGCAACGAUGCGUAGCCGACCUGAGAGGGUGAUCGGCCACACUGGAACUGAGACACGGUCCAGACUCCUACGGGAGGCAGCAGUAGGGAAUCUUCCGCAAUGGGCGAAAGCCUGACGGAGCAACGCCGCGUGAGUGAUGAAGGUCUUCGGAUCGUAAAACUCUGUUAUUAGGGAAGAACAAAUGUGUAAGUAACUAUGCACGUCUUGACGGUACCUAAUCAGAAAGCCACGGCUAACUACGUGCCAGCAGCCGCGGUAAUACGUAGGUGGCAAGCGUUAUCCGGAAUUAUUGGGCGUAAAGCGCGCGUAGGCGGUUUUUUAAGUCUGAUGUGAAAGCCCACGGCUCAACCGUGGAGGGUCAUUGGAAACUGGAAAACUUGAGUGCAGAAGAGGAAAGUGGAAUU
Molecule: ribosomal RNA, 579 nt
Filed under: uncultured bacterium
Lineage: Bacteria
Description: bacterial SSU rRNA
Rfam family: Bacterial small subunit ribosomal RNA
Source: RNAcentral